This 594-nucleotide long non-coding RNA is filed under the name Elaeis guineensis (African oil palm). Its description in RNAcentral is "long non-coding RNA (EGUI_LNC061802)". The record is from RNAcentral. Lineage: Eukaryota; Viridiplantae; Streptophyta; Magnoliopsida; Arecales; Arecaceae.
CGUCCGGACUCUUACUGGGGUCAGACAUCAGACUCCUCUCAAGUGGAUAACUAACCACCAGACAUUCUAGCCGAACUUCAGCAGACAGGUCUGCACUCCCUAGCGCGACACAGCAAUAGCCACGAUCCUGCUCCACUUCCUGCGAUGGAUUCUGUGCAGCUCCAUUAUUUCCUGACAGACCGCUAUGACGGCCACGACCCUGCUCCACUUCCUGCGACGGAUCCCGCGUGGCUCCACUAUUCCCUGGCAGACCGCUAUGAUGCCCACGAUCCUGCUCCACCUCCUGUAACGGAUACUACGUGAUUCUUCCAUCCUCUGGCAAGUUGCGACAAUGGACGCCGCUCCACUCCCUGCAGCAGACUCCACGUGGCGUGCUACAGUGAGGGCCACGGGUCCACUCGACUACUCCUCGUAACAAAUUCCUCCUGACUGUGGCCGACCCACUACUAGACGAUUAUGAACGUCGCUAUCAGUCUGUUUCGCCCUCCGUCUAUAAAAGGGGGGACCCCAGAUACGUUACUCUAUAAGCUCCAUUUACCAUCUCAAAACUCUGCUAAAAAAAUUUUCGUUCUAGCACUCCAUUCUUGUUGAGGC